Pangasius djambal is the source of this 72-nucleotide non-coding RNA. Lineage: Eukaryota; Metazoa; Chordata; Actinopteri; Siluriformes; Pangasiidae. The record is from the annotation of a GenBank genome assembly.
UCCUUGGUGAUCUAGUGGUUAGGAUUCGGCGCUCUCACCACUGCAUCCCAGGUUCAAUUCCCAGUCAGAGAA